GGCCGCGAAUUCGCCCUUAGGGUUUGAUCAUGGCUCAGGAUGAACGCUGGCGGCGUGCCUAAUACAUGCAAGUCGAGCGAGGCCCUUCGGGGCCUAGCGGCGGACGGGUGAGUAACACGUGGGUAACCUGCCUGUAAGACUGGGAUAACUUCGGGAAACCGAAGCUAAUACCGGAUAAUUUCGAGCAUCGCAUGAUGCUUGAUGGAAAGACGGCUUCGGCUGUCGCUUACAGAUGGACCCGCGUCGCAUUAGCUAGUUGGUGAGGUAACGGCUCACCAAGGCGACGAUGCGUAGCCGACCUGAGAGGGUGAUCGGCCACACUGGGACUGAGACACGGCCCAGACUCCUACGGGAGGCAGCAGUAGGGAAUCUUCGGCAAUGGGCGAAAGCCUGACCGAGCAACGCCGCGUGAGCGAUGAAGGCCUUCGGGUCGUAAAGCUCUGUUGUUAAGGAAGAACAAGUACGAGAGUAACUGCUCGUACCUUGACGGUACUUAA
Molecule: ribosomal RNA, 497 nt
Filed under: uncultured bacterium
Lineage: Bacteria
Description: partial 16S ribosomal RNA
Rfam family: Bacterial small subunit ribosomal RNA
Source: RNAcentral